GGAGCUGCCGUGUGUUCUGACUGCACUCCAGCUCUAAUCAGAAGUGAAAACACCUGUGCAAAGGAGCCGGGACAGGAUAUACUGUGUCUGAAGACACAAACAUUAAUAUUGGAUGCAGCAGGAGACUUAAGUUCCCCGUGUACACUCAAGACUGACCCUGAGACCAACACAGUACAGUACAUGAAUAUGUAACCUGUAAUAACGUGCUCUUCAUCAGGCUCUGUCUCAGCAAACCAGUCACCACCUCAAGCUCCUGCUCGGCCUCCCGAACGUUUGGGUCCAGCUGGAGGACUUCCUGCAGAGAUAUUGUUCUCCACUCAAUGCCCGAGGAACACAGGUGCUGGACAGAGAGUGGGACGGCUGGAAUCUCUGGAAGCUUUUCUCUCCACUCAGGCCCGUCCUGCUCGAUCAGCAUCUUAGUGAUUCUGAAGAAAGAAGAGACAAAGAGCACAAAACGUGAGGAUGUGAGUCUCCGAGGAGUUUCAAAGGUAACAGGCGGCUCUGUUGGAGUAGAGAAUACACAGGUCUUCUGGACUAUCAGUGCCUGCAGGGGAACAAUAACCACUCAUCUGAAAGACCAGACACUGGAACAACACUCACGUCAUCUUUGAACUAUGUAUAAAAUAUUUAAUUUGACACUCGCCCCACAGUGUUGUCAGUGAUCUGCAGACGAAAGUGAAAUCAAGACACCACAACACAGUCAGUUCAAUUUAAAGUCAUCAGCCUGAGCGGAGAUGCUGAGACGGAGGACGGUGGACAGAUGAAUGAAUGUGUCCUUCGGGGCAGAGUGAUUUCCUCCCCUGUCCUUUCUCUGCCGAACCUCUUCUGCACUUUCACAACCUCUAGCAGAGCAUCAGUCACGAUACAUUGCUUCAGAGCCUGCAAAACUAAUGUCAGCACACAGUGCACUUAUGCCUGUAGAAUUCUAAUCAAUCUAAGAUAGAUUUUUCAAAAGAACAUCAUCACACAUGUUUGCCAAUCGGUCUCAAAGAUUGGUAAUAAGUCUGCCUCCUGUCAGUGCUGCUGAACAAUCUGAUGACUCUUACCAGCUAUGAGAUUCAAAGUUGGCCAUGUGAUGUUAAGUUAUAUGCAUUCAGGUUUUAGACAAACCCUUUUUUAUAUAUAUUCUGACAUUUUAUGAACUAAAACACUAAUUUAAUUCAUUUAUUACUUUGAUUUGAGCUUUCUUGUGACCAUAAACUGUUAUUUACACUGGUAAUGUCAAUAUGUUGUUUACACUUUAUAGUCCUAUUGUAUAAUUUUCUUUUUUCUGUCAUGUAAAAUAUCAAUCAACAUUUGCCUUUGAAUGAAACUCUGUGAUGUUGACUCUAGGAAAACAACCACAUUGUUCAUAUUUUCCUCACCUGCUGCCACACAACCAUCAAUAGCCUGAGUGUAUUUUUCCAAAGCAUCUCCAAACUGUCCGUGUUUGAAGAGAUGGUUUCCCUCGUUCUUGAGGCGAGCCAGGUGAGGAGGAAGGGCCCCAGCAGGAG
Long non-coding RNA from Solea senegalensis (Senegalese sole), 1493 nucleotides. RefSeq lists it as uncharacterized. The record is from RefSeq and is a predicted model, not a curated record. Lineage: Eukaryota; Metazoa; Chordata; Actinopteri; Pleuronectiformes; Soleidae. The transcript has 6 exons.